This 253-nucleotide ribosomal RNA is filed under the name uncultured bacterium. RNAcentral describes it as "partial 16S ribosomal RNA". It matches the Rfam family "Bacterial small subunit ribosomal RNA", at positions 524 to 776 of the family's 1533-position model. The record is from RNAcentral.
UACAGAGGUUGCAAGCGUUGUUCGGAAUUACUGGGCAUAAAGCGCACGUAGGCGGUCCGCUAAGUCAUGUGUGAAAUCCCCCGGCUCAACCGGGGAAUGGCGCCUGAUACUGGCGGACUCGAGAUCGGUAGGGGUGAGUGGAACUCCAGGUGGAGCGGUGAAAUGCGUAGAUAUCUGGAGGAACACCGGUGGCGAAAGCGACUCACUGGACCGACACUGACGCUGAGGUGCGAAAGCUAGGGUAGCAAACGGG